RNAcentral lists this ribosomal RNA (497 nucleotides) under uncultured bacterium. Its description in RNAcentral is "partial 16S ribosomal RNA". It matches the Rfam family "Bacterial small subunit ribosomal RNA", at positions 28 to 507 of the family's 1533-position model. The record is from RNAcentral.
GAUGAACGCUGGCGGCGUGCCUAAUACAUGCAAGUCGAGCGAACAGACGAGGAGCUUGCUCCUCUGACGUUAGCGGCGGACGGGUGAGUAACACGUGGAUAACCUACCUAUAAGACUGGGAUAACUUCGGGAAACCGGAGCUAAUACCGGAUAAUAUAUUGAACCGCAUGGUUCAAUAGUGAAAGACGGUUUUGCUGUCACUUAUAGAUGGAUCCGCGCCGCAUUAGCUAGUUGGUAAGGUAACGGCUUACCAAGGCAACGAUGCGUAGCCGACCUGAGAGGGUGAGCGGCCACACUGGAACUGAGACACGGUCCGGACUCCUACGGGAGGCAGCAGGAGGGAAUCUUCCGCAAUGGGCGAAAGCCUGACGGAGCAACGCCGCGUGAGUGAUGAAGGUCUUCGGAUCGUAAAACUCUGUUAUUAGGGAAGAACAAAUGUGUAAGUAACUAUGCACGUCUUGACGGUACCUAAUCAGAAAGCCACGGCUAACUACGUG